CCAUUGAUAUUGUUGUUAAGGCUGUCUGAAUUUGACCAUAUCGGGAUACACACACUAUCAAUAUUUUCUUUAUUGUUAUCUUGUUUAUCCAUUUCAAGAGUCUUGAAGAAAGCCUGCUUGUGCAUUGAAGUCGCCAAGCAAGUACAAUGAUAUUGAGAAGCUAACUGUUCAUCCUGACCUUAUACCGAGGGACAGUAGGGGAAGGCGGGUGUCAAAACAUAUAAAUACGGAUGAGCGGAUCAACAUUGCACUUCAAACUCAGGAGACUACAACCCGUGUAACAAGUUGGCGUAGAUCUGUUCCUGUUUACUUUCGAGACCGAUAUCAAUAAUGAAGUACGCUACAAUCGCUCUCUGUUUGUUCGUGAUUCUGGCGCUUGGUGUCUACCAAACUGCUUGUCAGCCUCCUUACCCGUCUCCCGCUCCAAGUCCCGGCAUGCAAGCGGAAAUAAACCAAGAUAUCGACGAGGCAGCC
This is a long non-coding RNA of Lytechinus variegatus (green sea urchin), 474 nucleotides long. RefSeq lists it as uncharacterized. NCBI's taxonomy places the organism in Eukaryota, Metazoa, Echinodermata, Echinoidea, Temnopleuroida, Toxopneustidae. The record is from RefSeq and is a predicted model, not a curated record. The transcript has 4 exons.